This 479-nucleotide ribosomal RNA is filed under the name uncultured euryarchaeote. Its description in RNAcentral is "bacterial SSU rRNA". It matches the Rfam family "Archaeal small subunit ribosomal RNA", at positions 219 to 697 of the family's 1478-position model. Lineage: Archaea; Methanobacteriati; Methanobacteriota. The record is from RNAcentral.
GGCCUAUCAGGGUAGUAGUGGGUGUAACGUACCUACUAGCCUACGACGGGUACGGGUUGUGAGAGCAAGAGCCCGGAGAUGGAUUCUGAGACAUGAAUCCAGGCCCUACGGGGUGCAGCAGGCGCGAAAACUUUACAAUGCGGGCAACCGCGAUAAGGGGACCUCGAGUGCUGGGUUACAAACCUGGCUGUUGGGCUGCCUAAAANNNAGUCUANNNCNNNGGCCGGGCAAGACCGGUGCCAGCCGCCGCGGUAACACCGGCGGCUCGAGUGGUAACCGCUGUUAUUGGGUCUAAAGGGUCUGUAGCCUGCCGGCUAAGUCUCUUGGGAAAUCUGGCAUCUCAAGUGUCAGGCUGCCAGGGGAUACUGGCCGGCUUGGGACCGGGAGAGGUGGGAGGUACCUCAGGGGUAGGGGUGAAAUCUUGUAAUCCUUGAGGGACCACCAGUGGCGAAGGCGUCUCACCAGAACGGAUCCGACGG